RNAcentral lists this ribosomal RNA (156 nucleotides) under uncultured fungus. Its description in RNAcentral is "5.8S ribosomal RNA". The stretch from base 1 to 127 matches the Rfam family "5.8S ribosomal RNA", at positions 28 to 154 of the family's 154-position model. From Rfam's summary of the family: 5.8S ribosomal RNA (5.8S rRNA) is a component of the large subunit of the eukaryotic ribosome. It is transcribed by RNA polymerase I as part of the 45S precursor that also contains 18S and 28S rRNA. Lineage: Eukaryota; Fungi. The record is from RNAcentral.
UCGCAUCGAUGAAGAACGCAGCGAAAUGCGAUAAGUAAUGUGAAUUGCAGAAUUCAGUGAAUCAUCGAAUCUUUGAACGCACCUUGCGCCCCUUGGUAUUCUGAGGAGCAUGCCUGUUUGAGUGUCAUGAAAAUUCUCAACUGCUUCAACUUUUUU